RNAcentral lists this long non-coding RNA (1018 nucleotides) under Eucalyptus grandis. RNAcentral describes it as "long non-coding RNA (EGRA_LNC007782)". The record is from RNAcentral. Lineage: Eukaryota; Viridiplantae; Streptophyta; Magnoliopsida; Myrtales; Myrtaceae.
AAAGAGGUUUGUCAGGAAUCCGAGGUUGCAGAACAAUUGUCAUCCAAGUUCAAAAAAUCAUAGAACCAAAAGAUCUAACUGUAAUCAACUCUAAAUCAAUCAAGUAUUGAUUCUAAUCAGAUUCGCAAUGCAUCCUGGCCUCGAACCUUCGUUGUCGAGAAUGCAUUUCGACACGAGAAGCUCUCGCCUCAUCGGAUGCUAUUAAAAAGAGUUUCAAGCACUUACCUUGAUUGAAUCGGCGAAGAACAUGCCUUCGAAGAUGUCUUCAUUUAGCAAUGAAGAAACUGCUAUUUAACAUAAUAUAUAUAUUGAAAUAAGCGGAGAGUCGAAUUUUAUUUUGUUCUGUAAUCAAAAUAGAAAAAGGAAAUGGAACGCUUAGCUUUGAUUUUGCUUCGAGGACUACGGAACGUGAAGAACACCGAGUCAGAUUCUGGUAUAAGAGCUAUUCAGCACCGAUCUUCAAGCUCUGAUUUAUGACUUCCGCAGAUCAUGAUCACUCUUCUCUAAUCCUUUUUCUAGAUCAACACUCAGAGAUGAACACAUCGGUGCAUCGUAGUCGCUGGACUUUGCUGAAAAUACUGAUCGCCUGAUGAAGAAACGAUUGGACUUUGCUCGGGACUUCAUUCGACGUCGAUCUCCGAUUUUUGACUUACGAGACUCAUCAACGGACGCUAAUCAACGAAAUUGAAGAGAUCAACGUCAACAAAACCUGAUGUAAUCAGAGUCCAAGCACACCAAGUAUACGAGUAGAGAUUGAGAAGACUUAGCCGAAUCCAGAAUCUCAGCUUGUUCUGAUUUCAGUUGUGGAUAAUCUCCUUGGAUUAUGCAACGAAACUCGUGAAGAUCUCGAUUAUUCCCUUCGAUAAAAAACGAAAUCCGUUGCCUCUAUCGAAGGAUUGAGUGGACUAAAUCCACGAAGAGUCCAUGAAUGGAGAAUUUCUGCACAGAUUUGCAGAAGUUCACCCGUAACAUCCUGGGAGAGAGAGAAAUCGUGGAGAAUUUUCUUCUUCGCUUUUUG